This is a long non-coding RNA of Neofelis nebulosa (Clouded leopard), 892 nucleotides long. RefSeq lists it as uncharacterized. The transcript is spliced from 2 exons. The record is from RefSeq and is a predicted model, not a curated record. NCBI's taxonomy places the organism in Eukaryota, Metazoa, Chordata, Mammalia, Carnivora, Felidae.
CAGAGUUAGAAGGGAAUCAAGAGAGUAUCCAGAACAAUACUUAUUUCUGAAGAUGAAGGUUCAAGGUAACAGAAAAUAGAAGCACCAGGCUCCAAGCGUCUGGUUUAGGAAUCUGCUUCUCCAACGUCUCAUCAUCCGCACUUGAUCUUCAUUGCCGAUGGGAAUGCAAAAUGGUGCAACCUGUAUGGAAGGGAUUUGGCGGCAUCUGGCAAGAGUGCACACACCUGGAAUCAGCAAACCCACUUCUAGGAAUCUAUCUCAAAGAUAAAAUGGCAAAAACACAAAGUGACCUAUGCAUGAGGCUAUUAAUUCUAGCACUGUUUGUAAGAAGAAAAGCUUAGAAACAGCCCAAGUGUCCUUCAGGAUCAUAAACUAUGGCACAGCCACCAUGGAGCACCAUGCAGCUGGAAAAAAGAAAGGUGGAAGCUUUCCACACAGAAGCUUCCACAGACUAUAACCGUGUGAUCUUCUGCAUUCAUUCAGUGGAAAAAGCAAGGCGUAGGAGAAAAGUUACAAUAUGCUACUUCUGGUAUAAAAGUGGUGGCGACGGUAGGGAAUCUAUAUACACAUUUGCUUAUGUGUGUUUUUUUUUUUAAGCAAUGUGUGGCUCUCUGACUCUUACAGUUUUUGGAAACUCUGCUACUGUUUCCUGCCAGUCACUUGCUAAAAUGCGCCUGAUAUUGUCAUUCUGCUUGGAUACCCUGCCGCACCCUGCUCACUGUGUUGCCAGUGUUGCCCUCUAGCACAAGUCUGUGCGUCUCCCACCAGAUUCCAGCUCUCUGUCCUUGCUUGGCUGGCUCUGUGUUCCCACAACCCUCUCUGACCUACCACUUCUAGACGAGAGCAAUGCAGAGGGCCGAAACUACAAAAUAAAUGAUGGUUUCAAAAGCAA